AGCUGCCAUUUUAAAAUAUGUGUUUCAAUUCGAAAAAUAUGCAAAAUAUCUGCGACGGAUAUUUUCGUUUCAAAUCAGUAAAAAUAUGUGAGAAACGUUUGAAAAAUAUGCCAGUUUCAUGAGAUAUUCCUAUAAAUUUGCGAAUUCCGUAAAAUUCCGAGAUUUGAAACGCAAAAUCUGAUCAGUGAAAUAGAUAAAAAAUCUUUUGCUGUUAAGGGAAAAUCUGUGAAUAUAGUAACCCUGGCACUCACUACUCAAACAGGAUUAUGUUUAUAUGUAUGUGGACUACCUGUGAAGCUCUCAACGUGUGAGCAUAUUGCUUCGCGAAGAAAUUUUGUGUAUUUCUCGGGAUAGAACGAUUUUUCUCGUACUGGAGUGAAUCAGUGUAGCGACGCCGUGAAACUAUCAUCGGGAAUCUAUAUAAAUAAAAAUGAACAAUACAUGUAAAAAAAUCACUAUCGAAAAGAUUUAAAUACGAAAUAAAACAAUAAUCAAACAAUACACGGGCAAGACGGGUUAUCACUGGCCUGAGUGUAGUGGAUUAUUCUAAAACUGAACACCAAUGUCCAAAAACUACAUUUGACUCCUCGACGACAAUUUUUUACAAUAUUCUACAACGAUUUAGCUGUUUUGAAGAUGAAGUGUUCGGAAGUAAUUCAUUCUAUAUCAACCGAUCUGGUGAAUUCUUUCUUCAAACGAAAUCCUUCGGACAUCAGGUCACAGUACUAUUUUUACCUUGACGCGCAUUGUUUCGUGGAGCUUACCAUGUUGGCACUCUCCUGGAUUAAUUUUCGAGAGCGAAACGAACAAAGCAGGUGUAUCAGCAGCCGAUGAAUGCAAUAUUCCAAUAGAAAAGGAAUAAUUAUGUUACAAGAAGAACAAUAUAGGUUUCAUUCAAAUCAUAUUUUUAUUUAUUGUAUUAGCAGAAGCCAAUA
Molecule: long non-coding RNA, 935 nt
Organism: Malaya genurostris
Lineage: Eukaryota; Metazoa; Arthropoda; Insecta; Diptera; Culicidae
Exons: 4
Source: RefSeq, a predicted model, not a curated record